AGAUUGAACGCUGGCGGCAGGCUUAACACAUGCAAGUCGAGCGGUAGCAGGCCUUCGGGUGCUGACGAGCGGCGGACGGGUGAGUAACGCAUAGGAAUCUGCCUGGUAGUGGGGGGAUAGGCCCGGGGAAACCGGAUUAAUACCGCAUACGCCCUACGGGGGAAAGGAUGGGAUCUUCGGACCAUUCGCUAUCAGAUGAGCCUAUGUCGGAUUAACUAGUUGGGUGGGUAAAGCCUACCAAGGCGACGAUCCGUAACUGGUCUGAGAGGAUGAUCAGUCACACUGGAACUGAGACACGGUCCAGACUCCUACGGGAGGCAGCAGGUGGGGAAUAUUGGACAAGUGGGGCAACCCUGACUCCGAGCCAUGCCGCGUGUACUAGAAGAAGGCCGUUACGGGUUAGUUAA
This 407-nucleotide ribosomal RNA is filed under the name uncultured soil bacterium. RNAcentral describes it as "bacterial SSU rRNA". It matches the Rfam family "Bacterial small subunit ribosomal RNA", at positions 26 to 429 of the family's 1533-position model. The record is from RNAcentral.